RNAcentral lists this ribosomal RNA (940 nucleotides) under uncultured bacterium. RNAcentral's name for it is "bacterial SSU rRNA". It matches the Rfam family "Bacterial small subunit ribosomal RNA", at positions 478 to 1419 of the family's 1533-position model. The record is from RNAcentral.
UNUUACCAGAAAGGGACGGCUAACUACGUGCCAGCAGCCGCGGUAAUACGUAGNUCCCGAGCGUUGUCCGGAUUUAUUGGGCGUAAAGCGAGCGCAGGCGGUUAGAUAAGUNUGAAGUUAAAGGCUGUGGCUUAACCAUAGUACGCUUUGGAAACUGUUUAACUNGAGUGCAGAAGGGGAGAGUGGAAUUCCAUGUGUAGCGGUGAAAUGCGUAGAUAUAUGGAGGAACACCGGUGGCGAAAGCGGCUCUCUGGUCUGUAACUGACGCUGAGGCUCGAAAGCGUGGGGAGCGAACAGGAUUAGAUACCCUGGUAGUCCACGCCGUAAACGAUGAGUGCUAGGUGUUAGGCCCUUUCCGGGGCUUAGUGCCGUAGCUAACGCGUUAAGCACUCCGCCUGGGGAGUACGACCGCAAGGUUGAAACUCAAAGGAAUUGACGGGGGCCCGCACAAGCGGUGGAGCAUGUGGUUUAAUUCGAAGCAACGCGAAGAACCUUACCAGGUCUUGACAUCCCGAUGCCCGCUCUAGAGAUAGAGUUUUACUUCGGUACAUCGGUGACAGGUGGUGCAUGGUUGUCGUCAGCUCGUGUCGUGAGAUGUUGGGUUAAGUCCCGCAACGAGCGCAACCCCUAUUGUUAGUUGCCAUCAUUCAGUUGGGCACUCUAGCGAGACUGCCGGUAAUAAACCGGAGGAAGGUGGGGAUGACGUCAAAUCAUCAUGCCCCUUAUGACCUGGGCUACACACGUGCUACAAUGGCUGGUACAACGAGUCGCAAGUCGGUGACGACAAGCUAAUCUCUUAAAGCCAGUCUCAGUUCGGAUUGUAGGCUGCAACUCGCCUACAUGAAGUCGGAAUCGCUAGUAAUCGCGGAUCAGCACGCCGCGGUGAAUACGUUCCCGGGCCUUGUACACACCGCCCGUCACACCACGAGAGUUUGUAACA